Molecule: ribosomal RNA, 208 nt
Filed under: uncultured bacterium
Lineage: Bacteria
Description: partial 16S ribosomal RNA
Rfam family: Bacterial small subunit ribosomal RNA
Source: RNAcentral
CGCGUAGGCGGCCAUGUAAGUCAGAUGUGAAAGCCCGGGGCUCAACCCCGGAAGUGCAUUUGAUACUGCAUGGCUUGAGUAUGGGAGAGGGAAGUGGAAUUCCUGGUGUAGAGGUGAAAUUCGUAGAUAUCAGGAGGAACACCGGUGGCGAAGGCGACUUCCUGGACCAAUACUGACGCUGGGGCGCGAAGGCGUGGGGAGCAAAACA